GAUGAACGCUGGCGGCGUGCCUAAUACGUGCAAGUCGAGCGAACGGACGAGAAGCUUGCUUCUCUGAUGUUAGCGGCGGACGGGUGAGUAACACGUGGAUAACCUACCUAUAAGACUGGGAUAACUUCGGGAAACCGUAGCUAAUACCGGAUAAUAUUUUGAACCGCAUGGUUCAAAAGUGAAAGACGGUCUUGCUGUCACUUAUAGAUGGAUCCGCGCUGCAUUAGCUAGUUGGUAAGGUAACGGCUUACCAAGGCAACGAUGCAUAGCCGACCUGAGAGGGUGAUCGGCCACACUGGAACUGAGACACGGUCCAGACUCCUACGGGAGGCAGCAGUAGGGAAUCUUCCGCAAUGGGCGAAAGCCUGACGGAGCAACGCCGCGUGAGUGAUGAAGGUCUUCGGAUCGUAAAACUCUGUUAUUAGGGAAGAACAUAUGUGUAAGUAACUGUGCACGUCUUGACGGUACCUAAUCAGAAAGCCACGGCUAACUACGUG
Molecule: ribosomal RNA, 497 nt
Filed under: uncultured bacterium
Lineage: Bacteria
Description: partial 16S ribosomal RNA
Rfam family: Bacterial small subunit ribosomal RNA
Source: RNAcentral